AACCAGCACCUCAAGUGGUCAGGAGGAUUAUUGGGCCUAAAGCAUCCGUAGCCUGUUCUAUAAGUUUGCGGUUAAAUCUAUACGCUCAACGUAUAGGCUGCCGUAAAUACUGUAGAACUAGGGAGUGGGAGAGGUAGACGGUACUCGAUAGGAAGGGGUAAAAUCCUUUGAUCUAUUGAUGACCACCUGUGGCGAAGGCGGCCACCUGGACUGAUACUGACACUGAGGUGCGAAAGCGUGGGGAGCAAACAGG
This 253-nucleotide ribosomal RNA is filed under the name uncultured archaeon. RNAcentral describes it as "partial 16S ribosomal RNA". It matches the Rfam family "Bacterial small subunit ribosomal RNA", at positions 548 to 776 of the family's 1533-position model. The record is from RNAcentral.